RNAcentral lists this ribosomal RNA (490 nucleotides) under uncultured bacterium. RNAcentral's name for it is "partial 16S ribosomal RNA". It matches the Rfam family "Bacterial small subunit ribosomal RNA", at positions 30 to 507 of the family's 1533-position model. The record is from RNAcentral.
AUUGAACGCUGGCGGCAGGCCUAACACAUGCAAGUCGAACGGUAACAGGAAGCAGCUUGCUGCUUUGCUGACGAGUGGCGGACGGGUGAGUAAUGUCUGGGAAACUGCCCGAUGGAGGGGGAUAACUACUGGAAACGGUAGCUAAUACCGCAUAACGUCGCAAGACCAAAGAGGGGGACCUUAGGGCCUCUUGCCAUCGGAUGUGCCCAGAUGGGAUUAGCUAGUAGGUGGGGUAACGGCUCACCUAGGCGACGAUCCCUAGCUGGUCUGAGAGGAUGACCAGCCACACUGGAACUGAGACACGGUCCAGACUCCUACGGGAGGCAGCAGUGGGGAAUAUUGCACAAUGGGCGCAAGCCUGAUGCAGCCAGGCCGCGUGUAUGAAGAAGGCCUUCGGGUUGUAAAGUACUUUCAGCGGGGAGGAAGGGAGUAAAGUUAAUACCUUGACUCAUUGACGGUACCCGCAGAAGAAGCACCGGCUAACUCCGUG